This is a non-coding RNA of Pelobates cultripes (western spadefoot toad), 79 nucleotides long. The record is from the annotation of a GenBank genome assembly. NCBI's taxonomy places the organism in Eukaryota, Metazoa, Chordata, Amphibia, Anura, Pelobatidae.
GGUGCAGUGGCCAAGUGGUAUGGCGUUGGUCUCAUAAAACCAAAUGAUCAAGAUCAUGGGUUCAAUCCCAUCUGUGCCU